This 430-nucleotide unclassified non-coding RNA is filed under the name fungal sp. RNAcentral describes it as "partial internal transcribed spacer region". The stretch from base 1 to 46 matches the Rfam family "Eukaryotic small subunit ribosomal RNA", at positions 1786 to 1831 of the family's 1831-position model. The record is from RNAcentral. Lineage: Eukaryota; Fungi.
AAGUCGUAACAAGGUUUCCGUAGGUGAACCUGCGGAAGGAUCAUUAUCGAUUCCAAAAUAAUAAACAUUAAUUUUGUUGAUGGAAAUGUUUUUCCAUCAUCAUCAUUAUUAUUAUUAGCCAUGUGCUGUAUAGUGCAUGCAAAAUUGGCACAUAGUUAUGUGCAAAAAACAAAAAUGUCGAACGCAUUGUUUCUUUUCAAUGAAAAUCGAAAGGAAAUGGAAGCACUUGAUUAGUUGUUUUUCUUUCUGGGUACUUAUACACAGUAUAAAUGACAAAUCCGUCAUGACAUUCGCCCAGAGAAAAAUUUAAAAUCAUUGUGUUUACAAAAACCCCUUUGUCGUAAUUGUGGCAACACAUUGCGAUUUAUGUGCUAUUACAAACAAAAUCAAAUUUUAUUCAACCCUAAGCGGGGGAUCACUUGGUUUGUGG